AGAGUUUGAUCCUGGCUCAGGGCGAACGCUAGCGGCGCGCCUAACACAUGCAAGUCGUGCGGGAAAGGGCUUCGGCCCUAGUACCGCGGCAGACGGGUGAGUAACACGUGAGCAACCUGUCCCCGGGUCUGGGAUAACCACCCGAAAGGGUGGCUAAUACCGGAUAAAGUCACCGGGCGCAAGCUCGGUGAUGAAAGGGGGCCUCUGCAUAGCAAGCUCCUGCCUGGGGAGGGGCUCGCGGCCCAUCAGCUAGUUGGUGGGGUAACGGCCCACCAAGGCUAUGACGGGUAGCCGGCCUGAGAGGGUGGUCGGCCACACGGGCACUGAGACACGGGCCCGACUCCUACGGGAGGCAGCAGUGGGGAAUCUUGGGCAAUGGGCGAAAGCCUGACCCAGCGACGCCGCGUGGGGGAAGAAGGCCUUCGGGUCGUAAACCCCUGUUCUGGGGGAAGAACCCUGAACGGGUUAAUAGCCCGUUCAGGCUGACGGUACCCCAGGAGAAAGCCACGGCUAACUGCGUGCCAGCAGCCGCGGUAAUACGCAGGUGGCGAGCGUUGCCCGGAAUCACUGGGCGUAAAGGGUGCGUAGGCGGCAGGGCAAGUCGCGGGUUAAAGCCCGGGGCUCAACCCCGGAAAGGCCUGCGAUACUGCCUUGCUUGAGGGCCGGAGAGGCUGGCGGAAUUCCCGGUGUAGGGGUGAAAUCCGUAGAUAUCGGGAGGAACACCGGCGGGGAAGCCGGCCAGCUGGACGGUUCCUGACGCUGAGGCACGAAAGCGUGGGGAGCAAACCGGAUUAGAUACCCGGGUAGUCCACGCCGUAAACGAUGGGUGCUAGGUCUGGGGAGGAAACUCUCUGGGCCGAAGCUAACGCGUUAAGCACCCCGCCUGGGGAGUACGGCCGCAAGGCUGAAACUCAAAGGAAUUGACGGGGGCCCGCACAAGCGGUGGAGCACGUGGUUUAAUUCGAUGCAAAGCGAAGAACCUUACCUGGGCUUGACAUGCCAGGGUUGUACCCCGGUGGAAACACUGGGGGAGCGUGGGUUUUUACUCACGCGCUCUGGCACAGGUGCUGCAUGGCUGUCGUCAGCUCGUGCCGUGAGGUGUUGGGUUAAGUCCCGCAACGAGCGCAACCC
Molecule: ribosomal RNA, 1131 nt
Filed under: uncultured bacterium
Lineage: Bacteria
Description: bacterial SSU rRNA
Rfam family: Bacterial small subunit ribosomal RNA
Source: RNAcentral